RNAcentral lists this long non-coding RNA (1349 nucleotides) under Oncorhynchus kisutch (coho salmon). RNAcentral's name for it is "lncRNA (ENSOKIG00005035996.1)". Lineage: Eukaryota; Metazoa; Chordata; Actinopteri; Salmoniformes; Salmonidae. The record is from RNAcentral.
GUUCUUGGUGCUGGACAACGGUCUUUAACAGAGGCUGGAGUAUCCAGGUCACGUCCAACAGUCUCCUGAGGGGCAGUCAAGAGUCUCCUCUCUACCAUCAGCCCUUCUCCUCUCUACCAUCAGGACCACUCCUCUCUACCAUCAGGACCACUCCUCUCUACCAUCAGGACCUCUCCUCUCUACCAUCAGCCAUUCUCCUCUCUACCAUCAGGACCACUCCUCUCUACCAUCAGGACCACUCCUCUCUACCAUCAGGACCUCUCCUCUCUACCAUCAGCCAUUCUCCUCUCUACCAUCAGGACCACUCCUCUCUACCAUCAGGACCACUCCUCUCUACCAUCAGGACCUCUCCUCUCUACCAUCUGCCCCUCUCCUCUCCUCUCUACCAUCAGGACCUCUCCUCUCUACCAUCUGCCCCUCUCCUCUCCUCUCUACCAGCAGCCCCUCUCCUCUCCUCUCUACCAUCUGCCCCUCUCCUCUCUACCAUCAGCCCCUCUCCUCUCCUCUCUACCAUCAGCCCCUCUCCUCUCCUCUCUACCAUCAGCCCCUCUCCUCUCCUCUCUACCAUCAGCCCCUCUCCUCUCCUCUCUACCAUCAAGCCCUCUCCUCUCUAUCAUCAGCCCCACUCCUCUCUACCAUCAGCCCCUCUCCUCUCUACCAUCAGCCCCUCUCCUCUCUACCAUCAGCCCCUCUCCUCUCUACCAUCAGCCCCUCUCCUCUCUACCAUCAGCCCCUCUCCUCUCUACCAUCAGCCCCUCUCCUCUCUACCAUCAGGACCACGCCUCUCUACCAUCAGCCCCUCUCCUCUCUACCAUCAGCCCCUCUCCUCUCUACCAUCAGGACCACUCCUCUCUACCAUCAGCCCCUCUCCUCUCUACCAUCUCACCCUCUCCUCUCUACCAUCAGCCCCUCUCCUCUCUACCAUCAGCCCCUCUCCUCUGUCACACUGAUCUCAGCCUCCUCUCCACCAUCAGCCCCUCUCCUCUCUACCAUCAGCCCCUCUCCUCUCUACCAUCAGCCCAACUCCUCUUUAUCAUCAGUCCUCUCCUCUGGCACACUGAUCUCAGCCUCCUCUCCACCAUCAGCUCUCUCCUCUGUCACACUGAUCUCAGCCUCCUCUGUACCAUCAGCCCCUCUCCUCUGAUUUCACUAGGGAGCCAGAGAUUCAUCACAGGGCUAGAUUUCAGUAAGGAGCCAAAGACUCACCACAGGGCUAGAUUUCACUAGGGAGACAGAGACUCACUCACCUUAGGGCUAGAUUUCACUAGGGAGCCAGAAACUCACCACAGGGCUAGAUUUCACUAGGGAGCCAGAGACUCACCACAGGGCUAGAUUUCACUAGGGAGCCA